AACUGUGAUUCCGGGUUUUCUGGAAUGGUGGGAAAUGUAGUUUCAUACUGUGACGGGAGUCGUUAAGUCAAAUAGGUUGUGUUUCUUAAAAAACUACAAAUCCCUUUAAAGGAUGGGGAGAAUGUGGCUUAUGGUAUUUGUGGUUUUCUUUACAUACGUGCCCAGAUGUGUUUGUGGUCUCAAGAUAUUUUGGAGUAUCACUGACCAAGAGCGGGAAUGAAGUUACGUAAAGGAUGAAAACAGCAAAAAUACCGCAGAGAAAAGUUGGAAAACUUCGUGCUGUUUAAAAUCACAGAUGGAAUUGUGUUUCACAUUGAAUGUGCUUGGAGACAAAGUGUUCAUGAAGAUAACACUAGAUCAGACCUGCCAGGGGGACCUGCAGCUACGCCAAGCCCAGCAUGGCUUCACUUAGCUGGGUAACAUCUGCUGAGGCCUCCCCUGCCUCCUGGACUUCACCAUGAGCUGAUCCGUGCUGGUUGCUGAGGAAAAACAUCAACUUUGCGC
Molecule: long non-coding RNA, 504 nt
Organism: Cyprinus carpio (common carp)
Lineage: Eukaryota; Metazoa; Chordata; Actinopteri; Cypriniformes; Cyprinidae
Exons: 4
Source: RefSeq, a predicted model, not a curated record